ACAUCUGCGUACACAGCCUCAAUCACAAGGUCCUCCAGUUGCCGGACAUUCUUCAACUGUAGCUGCUCCAGCAGCACUGAAUAGGGGAUGCACUGUGGAAACAUGACAGUAACUAGCAUGAGUCCUGCGACAGAAGCGCCUGCACCGUACCCAUUUCUUAGAGCUUCUGCACAGCAAUCCCCAAAGCAACACUUUGUCUUGCCUGCAGGAUUUUGCAGACCAGGAACUCCCUUCCAGACAGGCUUCCAGUCAUGAUUCAAAGACUCCAGAAGAGAGAGGACCUUUCCCUUCACGUGAUCACCUCUUUUGGGGACUGAAAGAUGUUCCCUGCGGACAUGGACAUAUCUACCCUGCGGACAUCUUUUCCUGUUCAGAGCCAUACAAUUUGCUUUCAGUUGUCUUACAAGAAGUUUUAUGAGAAUGACCACCUUACUGAAUACAGCAGAUCAUUCUGUGCUGGUCCUAACCUCAUUAUUUUUAACACCCUAAUAAUAUUUGUGUCCUCAGAAAACUGUGUCAGAAUAAACUGUAUCUAUUCACCAAGCACUGAAUAAAGUGUUGACUC
This is a long non-coding RNA of Cygnus atratus (black swan), 565 nucleotides long. RefSeq lists it as uncharacterized. The record is from RefSeq and is a predicted model, not a curated record. The transcript has 4 exons. NCBI's taxonomy places the organism in Eukaryota, Metazoa, Chordata, Aves, Anseriformes, Anatidae.